UCCUCAGCCUGCAGAUGGCCUAUUGACGGACCUUGUGAUUGUGGCUCUCUGGUUUUGCAUCUUCCUCAUUUUUCUCUUGCCGCUGCCAUGUAAGAAAUGCCUUUCACCUUCCACCAUGAUUCUGAUGCCUCCCCAGCCAUGUGGAAUUUAAAUGUCCAAGGAGAAGUUGAAUGUCUGCAACACAGAAGAAGGCCCUUACCAGAAUCCAGCCACACUGGCACCUUGAUCUGAGACUUUAAAACUCCAGAACUGUUUUUGAUAAACCACCCAAUCUAAAUUUUCUCAUGUAAUAAUGCAUAGAGAUGAUAGAAUUGGGCAUUACCAUCUUGUUUGAAAUUUUAAGAAGAAAGCUUUAACACUUUCAACCUUGGGUAUGAUGUUUGCUUCUGGUUUUUCAUAGAGUCAACUUAUUUAUAAUGAGGAGGUUUUCUUAUAUUCCUAGUUUAUUUUUUUAAAUAAUGAAUUUUGUCGAAUUUUGCCAAGUAUUUUCUCUGCAUCAGUUGAGAUGAUCAUGAUUGGUUUUGUUUUGUGUUCCUUUUAUUCUGUUAAUGUGGUGUGUAACAUCGAUUGAUUUUUAUAUGUUAAGCUAUUCUCACAUUCCUGAGAAAAAUCCCAUUUGAUCAUCCCUUUAAUAUGUUGUAAUUGAAUAUUUUAUAAUCCCUUUAAUAUGUUGUUGGAUUCUGUUUUCUAGUAUAUUGAAGAUGAUUUUUGCAUCUAUAGUCAUAAGGGAUAUUGUCUUGUAAUUUCCAUUUCUUUUCUUCUGAUGCCUUUGUCUGGCUUUGGUAGCAGAGUGAGUCAUGCCUUACAAAAUAAAUUAGUAUUCCUCAUUUAUUUUUUGGAAAAGUUUGAGGAUUGCUUUUAAUUAUUUUUAAAAUGUUUAGCUGCAUUCACCAGUGAAGCCAUCUGGUCAUGAGCUUUUAUUACUUUAGAGCUCUUUGAUUACUGAUUCGAUAUAUUUACUUUUUGUAAUUCUGUUCAGAUUUUCUCUGUUGAGUAAGCUAAAGUAAUUUGUGUUCCUAGAAUUUUGUUUCCAUUUUAUUUAGGCCAACUAAUUUAUUGGAGUAACAUUUUACAUUGUAUUCACCUAAAAUCCCUUUUAUUUCUUUAAAUAUUUUUAAAUUGUAAGAUGGUACCAAUGGAAUGCCAGUCAGAAAUUCAUGCACCCAAACCUGAAGAGGCACAGACAUAUUCAAAUAAAGUAAGCCUAACACCAA
Molecule: long non-coding RNA, 1214 nt
Organism: Homo sapiens (human)
Lineage: Eukaryota; Metazoa; Chordata; Mammalia; Primates; Hominidae
Source: Ensembl